UACGAGUGCCCCGAGCGUUAUCCGGAAUUAUUGGGCGUAAAGGGUGUGUAGGUGGUUUUGUUAGUCUUCUGUUAAAGCUCCCGGCUUAACUGGGAAAAUGCAGAGGAAACGGCAAGACUAGAGGAUGUAAGGGGUGAGCGGAACUCAUGGUGUAGGAGUGAAAUCCGUUGAUAUCAUGGGGAACACCGAAAGCGAAGGCAGCUCACUGGUGCAUUCCUGACACUGAAACACGAAAGCGUGGGUAGCGAAUGGG
This 253-nucleotide ribosomal RNA is filed under the name uncultured bacterium. Its description in RNAcentral is "partial 16S ribosomal RNA". It matches the Rfam family "Bacterial small subunit ribosomal RNA", at positions 524 to 776 of the family's 1533-position model. The record is from RNAcentral.